Molecule: long non-coding RNA, 1427 nt
Filed under: Ananas comosus (pineapple)
Lineage: Eukaryota; Viridiplantae; Streptophyta; Magnoliopsida; Poales; Bromeliaceae
Description: long non-coding RNA (ACOM_LNC002333)
Source: RNAcentral
UUUUUUUUUUUUUUUUUUUUUUUUUUUUUUUUUUUUUUUGAGAGAUAGGUAGCAUGUUACCCGUAUCGUUUAUUUAAUUUAGAAAUAAACUUAGUUAAAAAUGUGAAUCAACUAGGAUUUGAAUUUGGGACCUCGGGUACCAACUACCAAAUCCUUUGCCAUUUGCAUUAGGUAUCAGCAUAUUUGAUAGCUGCCAACUGAGCCUUAACAUGAGCGAGUUUGGGUCUCAGCAGCUUGAGAUUGGCUCGAAUCUAAUUUUAAGCCGGCUCGUGCUCGGCUCGUCUGUUGACAAGUUGAAGACGAGUGAGCUAGUGACAUCUCCGAGAUUGGCUUAAAAAUUAUUGGGUAACCUUCAAAUACCAUUCCUAUAGUUUUGUACUUUCUCACUUUAGUAUCUUGUAAUUUAAAGUGUAUCAAUUCAGUAUUUGAUUUAAAGUGUAUCAAUUUAAUAUUUUGUGGUUUUUUUUUUUUUUUUCGUCAGCUCUUUGGUUAACAUUUUAUUAAAUCAUAUAUAAAAAAUUUUAGAUACUUCACCUAUUUAUUGAAUAUUCACUUUAGUAUUUUUUAGUUUUAACUUUGCCAUUAAUUUAACGAAAAAAAUUAGUGGAGGGAAUAAUGAAAAGAGAAAAAUGAAAUCACGGGAUACUAAAUUGAUACACUUUAAAUUACAGAGUAUUAAAAUAAAAAAGUGCGAAAUCACUAGGGUGGUAUUUAAAUGAAAACGAAGUGUUGGGUUUAGAUUAAUUUGAGUUGGUUUGAAAUUAUUUCGAGCUAGCUUGAAUUAAAUUUUAAUAGAAGUAUUAUUAUUAUUAUAAUUAGUGUUAUUGCUAAUUUAAAUUUUUGUUUUUAGUAUUACUAAUUAGUAUUAAAAUUUAAAAGUCAUGCUAACCAAAAAUAAAAAUUUAGAAACAGCAUUCAAAUUUGCUGAAUGUCAAUAUAAAAAUUAUAUAUAUAGUAAGACUACUGUACUCUUAUACGUAUAGAGCUUAUUAUAUUCAUAAAUUAUUAUCGAUAAUAGAGCUUUCGAAUCGACGAUCGUGCUAUGAGCAGAAUUCUCUAGCCGUUGAUCAGGUCAAAUAUCUCUUUUGGGAUGCGUGUAAGGAAUUGAUGCAGCUUGACGUGAUGACCUUCGAAGUCUGCGCUUUUCGACUGAUCAAGCGAUUCGACUGAUGAGGGAUCGGAUCAGCCGAGUUCGAAACCUUCUACUACAGAAUCGGUUCGGUUGAAUGAGCCGAAUAGAAUAUUACACUGUUUUGAGUCGGCUGAUGAGCCGAAUAGCCUUUAUAUAUUAAAACUUAAAGUUGGAAACUCGUAUAAAAGAGAGUGUGCCUGUAAGGCAUAUAGACUCUAGAAAUCUAAAUUAAAGACGACUAGAAAAGGCUAAAUGCAGGAAAAGAAAGAUAACAUAUAGACUACUCCUAGAAAAG